Molecule: ribosomal RNA, 385 nt
Filed under: uncultured bacterium
Lineage: Bacteria
Description: bacterial SSU rRNA
Rfam family: Bacterial small subunit ribosomal RNA
Source: RNAcentral
AACGAACGCUGGCGGCAUGCCUAACACAUGCAAGUCGAACGAACCCUUCGGGGUUAGUGGCGCACGGGUGCGUAACGCGUGGGAAUCUGCCCUUGGGUUCGGAAUAACAGUUAGAAAUGACUGCUAAUACCGGAUGAAGUCUUCGGACCAAAGAUUUAUCGCCCAGGGAUGAGCCCGCGUAGGAUUAGGUAGUUGGUGGGGUAAAGGCCUACCAAGCCGACGAUCCUUAGCUGGUCUGAGAGGAUGAUCAGCCACACUGGGACUGAGACACGGCCCAGACUCCUACGGGAGGCAGCAGUGGGGAAUAUUGGACAAUGGGGGAAACCCUGAUCCAGCAAUGCCGCGUGAGUGAUGAAGGCCUUAGGGUCGUAAAGCUCUUUUACCA